RNAcentral lists this ribosomal RNA (474 nucleotides) under uncultured bacterium. Its description in RNAcentral is "bacterial SSU rRNA". It matches the Rfam family "Bacterial small subunit ribosomal RNA", at positions 355 to 825 of the family's 1533-position model. The record is from RNAcentral.
UGGGGAAUAUUGCGCAAUGGGCGAAAGCCUGACGCAGCAACGCCGCGUGAGUGAUGAAGGCCUUCGGGUCGUAAAGCUCUGUCGGAGGGAACGAAUGCUCCUGAAGUUAACAGCCUCAGGAGGUGACGGUACCCUCAAAGGAAGCACCGGCUAACUCUGUGCCAGCAGCCGCGGUAAUACAGAGGGUGCAAGCGUUGUUCGGAUUUACUGGGCGUACAGGGGAGCGUAGGCGGUUCGGUAAGCCCUUUGUGAAAUCUCCAGGCUUAACCUGGAAAAGUCGGAGGGGACUGCCGGGCUAGAGGACGGGAGAGGAGCGCGGAAUUCCCGGUGUAGCGGUGAAAUGCGUAGAGAUCGGGAGGAAGGCCGGUGGCGAAGGCGGCGCUCUGGAACGUUUCUGACGCUGAGGCUCGAAAGCGUGGGGAGCAAACAGGAUUAGAUACCCCUGUAGUCCCUGAGCGGGCUGGCAAGGCGCAU